Molecule: non-coding RNA, 48 nt
Organism: Trichobilharzia regenti
Lineage: Eukaryota; Metazoa; Platyhelminthes; Trematoda; Strigeidida; Schistosomatidae
Source: Rfam
AUCCAGCUGAUGAGUCCUAAAUAGGGCGAAAUGCGCGUUAUCCUAGAU